CCUACGGGGGGCAGCAGUGGGGAAUAUUGCACAAUGGGCGAAAGCCUGAUGCAGCAACGCCGCGUGGAGGAUGAAUGCCUUCGGGUUGUAAACUCUUGUCUUUUGGGACGAUAAUGACGGUACCAGAGGAGGAAGCCACGGCUAACUACGUGCCAGCAGCCGCGGUAAUACGUAGGGGGCAAGCGUUAUCCGGAAUUACUGGGCGUAAAGGGUGCGUAGGCGGUUUAUCAAGUCAGGGGUGAAAGGCUACGGCUCAACCGUAGUGAGCCUCUGAAACUGGUGAACUUGAGUGUAGGAGAGGAAAGUGGAAUUCCCAGUGUAGCGGUGAAAUGCGUAGAUAUUGGGAGGAACACCAGUGGCGAAGGCGACUUUCUGGACUACAACUGACGCUGAGGCACGAAAGCGUGGGGAGCAAACAGGAUUAGAUACCCGUGUAGUCAC
Molecule: ribosomal RNA, 441 nt
Filed under: uncultured bacterium
Lineage: Bacteria
Description: bacterial SSU rRNA
Rfam family: Bacterial small subunit ribosomal RNA
Source: RNAcentral